ACCAAGAAACAUAAUGAUGAAGACUGAAAA
RNAcentral lists this non-coding RNA (30 nucleotides) under Rattus norvegicus (Norway rat). The record is from RNAcentral. Lineage: Eukaryota; Metazoa; Chordata; Mammalia; Rodentia; Muridae.